Molecule: long non-coding RNA, 3631 nt
Organism: Triticum dicoccoides
Lineage: Eukaryota; Viridiplantae; Streptophyta; Magnoliopsida; Poales; Poaceae
Exons: 6
Source: RefSeq, a predicted model, not a curated record
CACACGGUCCGGAUCCAGUCCCAACCCACCACCGCCAGCUCCACUUCCCUUCGGUUUCUGCUGCUCGUCGAAGCCGUCUCCGGCAAGGACCUGGCCGGCGACACCGCCUCUUCCAUGGCAGCCCGGCCACGGCCAGGCACGCCCUUUCCUCCCUCCCCGCGCUCUGGCCGUGGCCGGUCUUCUCCUCCUCUCUUCAUCCGGGGCCGGCCCCGGGUCGUGCCUCUCAUCUGGUUUGGAUUUGCUCGUCCCCGAUUCACCAUCCGUUUAGGCUUAGAACAGCAGCGCCUCAUUUGGUUUUUUCUCGUGCUCGGUUCGUCCAUUUGGAAUCGCGCCUGGUUUGAUUUUGCUUGUCCUUGCCGUCGCCUGUUUGGGGUGAUGGGGUCACGUCCGAUUCGAUUUUGCUCCUCCUCGCCUUGUCUGUGUAGAGUCGCUUCUGGUUCGAUUUUGCUCAUCCUCACCGCCGUCCGUGUAUAGUCGCGCCUAAUUCGAUUUCGCUCGUCCUCGCCGUUGUCCUGAUGCGCUUGCGUUUUCUAGGUCCGUCUCGCCUCGUCGGGGGUCUCCGUCUCAUUUGCGAACUAGAAAUUCUGUCUGCAUGCGCUUGUGUUAUCCGAACUAGCAAUCCUGGGUUUCGUGUUCGCGUCGGUUGCAGGAACGCACGGGUCUGGUUUCGAAAUUGGAUUACGGCCGGAGACGGGGAGCGAUGUUCGUUUAUGGUGCUAGUUCAGACCGGUUCCUCCGUUCCGUCACCUGCAUUGCUCUUGGUGAUUUUCAGAACUGAAAUGCAUGCUCUCUUCUGUCAGUUCUUGUUGGCCCUCUGUCAAUUCUUGAGUUCGAGGGUUCGUUAAUUCUUGAGUUCUUGUUGUACCGGCUAGGCGUGUGUGCUCUCAAUAUAGAUGUAGAGACGGGGUGAUUCCUUACGCUUGUUCUGAUGGUGUAUACUGUUUAUGUUCUUUCCAAUUUGUUUCUUUUUAUCAUGCGUUGCUUGUGUGUUGCCAUGUGGCCUGCUGCUUGACUAAUUGAACACCUGUUGCUGCUACUUUUGGACAAGGUUGCUUCUUUUUUUCCUGAUGUUGCUAUUUCCAUUGAAGUACUCAUAGGAGUUAUAGAUGGUCUGCUGCUAGUUAGUUCCCCUUAGACUACAUUCUAGAUUGCAUAUCAUAACUCGGGCAUAUAAUUCUGUUGUGAGCAUAACUCCAGAAUUUAUUUAUUCAUGAAAGCACGUUCAUCACAUGUUUUUUAUCAAUGUUGCUAACUUCUGUCACAUCCGUUUCCUCAAUUUCAACGAACCAAUAAUGUGGACAUGUGUUGCUUGUUUUCUUGUGAUGAUGGUGAUCCAAUUGACUAGCCCAACUCUUAUGCUCUGACAUUUGUUUAUCCCCGGUUAGUGUGCCUGAAAAAUUAUUGUUUGUCAUGUUAAAUUGUAUGGCAUCAACUCGGUAUUGUGAUUAAUGACCUAGUAUUUGUUUAGUGUACAUAGUUGACUUCUUUUUUCUUAAAUUUUUAGUGAUAUGCGUGUUUGUUAUGUCUUAUGUGGAUAUCAUAUUCUUUUUUUGUAUUACUAAUGUCCAGUCAAUGAAAAAUGCUUUUCUUGCUUUGCCUAGACUUUGUGACAAUUAACUUAUAGUGCGAUCAUUGAUCAUUGAGCUUCUGACACCCUAUUCCAUAAAAUUAUGUGUUCGCUGUCUGGUUUUGAAUUUGGAUUACGAGGGCAGGGAGAGGCCAAAGCAAUGUCAGUUUAUCGUGUUUGUUCAUAUCGGUUCCUCGGUUCCGUCGCUGCAUUGUUCGUCGGUGAUUUCCAGACCUCAAACGCAUGCGCCCUUGUGAUACUCUGGUUUGGCUCGCUGGUCGUUAUGGUUGUUCACCACGGUUGUUCUUAUGUUCUUGAAUCGCCCAUCUCAUAAGCAAAGAUGGGGUGAUUCAUUAUGGUUGUUCUGAUGGUUGCUUAUUUAGUGUUAUUUCCAAUUGAGUUCUUCUUGUCAUGCUUUGCUUAUGUUCCCAAUGUCUGUCUUCCCAUAUAUGGGAAUGCGUUUAGGGGUGCAAACCGUGUAGGCCGUGGUGUGUAUUGUACCAGCUACAGUGUGUUUUAUACUAUCUGAUGUGGAAGGUAUAAAUAUUGAUAUCACUUAUGUGUUAUUAUACUUGAUAUGGUGUGUUUUAUUCAAGUUAUUAACCACAUCUCUUACAAAUUUUCCUUGAGAUACAUAUUUAUAUGGCAGGAAUGAUUGUCUUGAAGAAUAAUCAUUUAUGCUAACUUGGUAUUGGUAGUUCCUGGUCAUAGGUAACAGACCAGUACUUGUUUAGUGCAGAUAACUGACUAUUCUUUUUUCUGAACUUUUUUGUGAUAUGUGUGUUAUGUGGAUAUCAUAUUCUAAAGCUUUUCUAAGUAUUUAAGGUACAGACAUGUGUAUCUGGACAUGUCACAUUUGCUCUUUAUUGUGUUGCUAAGGACACUGAAGGUUUGGCUGGGCCACUGCACGGGCUGGCUAAUGAGCAGGAAGUGUUGCUCUGGAUCAAAUCUGUAAUGGAAGAGACUGGCAGUAACAUUACAACCGACCAACUUAAAGAAUAUGUAUAGAAGACACUUAAGAGUGGAAAGGUUGUAGUGAUUAGGGAAGCUUGCAGAACUGUAUGAAUUUGAACAACAAUGGUCGAGAGCAGCACAAAUGCUUGGUGGAAUUGGCUUGGACUCAGAAAUCAAGAUGCUUGAUGACACAAACAAAUUAUCCAAGUGUGUCCAGAUUGCACGACUAUAUUUGGAGGAUGAUGACGCAGUGAAUGCGGAAGCUUUUAUCAACAAAGCCUCGUUUUUGGUCACAAACAGCAACCGGGAAGUUCUGAACUUACAAUACAAGGUCUGCUAUGGGAGAAUUUUAGAUCUAAAAAGCUGCACUUCAAUAUUGUGUUAUCUCUCAAAUUGAGCAAUGCCAAAUUGGGGAUGAGUAAGGCUUACUCCAUUCAAUUGUAGAUUUGUUUCUCUCAUGCAAUUUACUCAUUUUUAAUGUUCUAUCUUGUAUGGUUCUUUGUUGCCUUGCCGGUGUAGUGGUGCCUCAUUUCUAUUUUACACCCUUCAAAUAUUUCAAUGUUUUGCUUACUGGAUGUAAUAUAUUACCCUACUUGAUACUCAUGUUUAAGUACUGCAGUGGUUAUUAGCAAGUCGUGUUUGGAACUGAUACCACCUCCAUAUUUUAUUCUUAAAGAUCUUGAUGGAACAUUGUUUCUAUAUUUUCUCAGAUAGAUUGAUGAAAAUGCUCUUGAGCAUGCUCUUAGUGCUGCUGUAACAUGCACAAUAUUGUAACUGAUGAGAGGCAGCCACUGUUGCCAACUUGAAAUUAGUUUACUCAUUCAAGUUCUGGAAUUUCUUUAUAGCUUUCUGAGUUUACUUCGGUCUUCCAUGUAUUGGAUUUCUCUUUGUGCCCCUAUCUAUGUUCGUUUCUUGUGUGCAAGUGCUCCAUUCUAUGUGUGUGACUGUGUGUGACUUGAUGAAUAUGUGUGUGGCUUGACUCUGUGUGUGUGUGUAGUUUGACUUUGUGUGUGUGUGUGUAUAGCUUGACUGUGUGUGGCUUGAUGCCGAAUAUGUGUGUGGCUUGAUGGUGAAUAUGUGUGUGGCUUGACUCUGUGUGAGACUGUGUGU